RNAcentral lists this ribosomal RNA (452 nucleotides) under uncultured cyanobacterium. RNAcentral describes it as "bacterial SSU rRNA". It matches the Rfam family "Bacterial small subunit ribosomal RNA", at positions 28 to 524 of the family's 1533-position model. The record is from RNAcentral. Lineage: Bacteria; Bacillati; Cyanobacteriota.
GAUGAACGCUGGCGGUCUGCUUAACACAUGCAAGUCGAACGGGCUCUUCGGAGCUAGUGGCGGACGGGUGAGUAACACGUGAGAAUCUGCCCUUAGGUUGGGGAUAACGACUGGAAACGGUCGCUAAUACCCGAUGUGCCGAGAGGUGAAAGUUUUAUCGCCUGAGGAUGAGCUCGCGUCUGAUUAGCUAGUUGGUAGUGUAAUGGACUACCAAGGCGACGAUCAGUAGCUGGUCUGAGAGGAUGAUCAGCCACACUGGGACUGAGACACGGCCCAGACUCCUACGGGAGGCAGCAGUGGGGAAUUUUCCGCAAUGGGCGAAAGCCUGACGGAGCAAGACCGCGUGAGGGAGGAAGGCCUACUGGUUGUAAACCUCUUUUGAUAGGGAAGAACACAAUGACGGUACCUAUCGAAUCAGCAUCGGCUAACUCCGUGCCAGCAGCCGCGGUAAU